Long non-coding RNA from Helianthus annuus (common sunflower), 1343 nucleotides. RefSeq lists it as uncharacterized. The record is from RefSeq and is a predicted model, not a curated record. NCBI's taxonomy places the organism in Eukaryota, Viridiplantae, Streptophyta, Magnoliopsida, Asterales, Asteraceae. The transcript is spliced from 9 exons.
ACACAACCCUAACCCCCAAAUCUAACCUGCUUGCUCACAUCCUCUCUACCAAUCUUGAUCGGCUCCCAGAUCUUUGAACGGCCACUACAUCGUCGUGAACGGCUGACCACCACACUUCUUCCUAUUGUGAAGGCCCUUUGAUCCUAAUUCAGCAAUCUGUUUUUCAGGUAUUCCAAGUUGAUGAAGGGAUGCUAUUAGAUAUAUCAUCUUUAACUGCUUGUGGUAAACGCAUUCACUAUUUGCCCGUUCUCUCUAAAAGAGAACUUGGUUUUCUGUAGCAUGGGUUGAUGGAUAUGUCUUACUUAUAAGUGUCCUUUACCAUAUUUUAUUAUUGUACAAGGAGGAAUUGAGAACAAUUAUGUGUAUGGGGAUGGGGAUGGAAGGUUCUUCGAAACAUUUCAAUUAAACGAUGAUAGCUGGAGAGACUGAAUCUUGUGGAAAGUUGUGUCAUUUAAUCAAUAUUUUCUGCUGGGUUUUGGUGGGGUGAUCUACAUGUACUGUUUCAAGAAAAAUCUUAUUCUGGUAAGCUAUGUAUUAAGGUCACUUCUCAAUCUUUUUUUGAACUCCCGAACACUUUCGGGGCACCCACUAGACCAAAUGGAGUACUCUGAGAGUAACCCGAGUCCAUCACCAAUUCCGUGGAAAACCUGGUAACCUACCUGCCCGUAGGCACGAUAGUGAAAUUACUGAUAAAACCCGUUUGACUCAAGGAUCAAACCCAGAUUUCCUUGGGUCUUCUAUCAUUGCUCACUAGUGCCUCACUAUGCACCAAGUGGUAGUUGAACCUACAUUUCCCAAAAGAAAUGCAAGCAUUCCACCACAUAAUUCGCAUCACUUCUCAAUCAAAGGUGUCUUAUAUCUCCGAGGAGCUUUGCAUAGGAUGUGAUGUAUAUGUUAAGAAAUACUCGUUUGAUGCAAUUGAGAUCAUCAAUUUACCAAAAGAUUUGGAUAAAGGACAAUGGCCGUGUAUGCUACACGAAGUGGUGCCAGUAUAAGGGUUAAACUCAACUGGGCCAACUCUAGGUUUCCAUGUUGGCCGGGAAGUACUGAAUGCGUCUACUAUGUUCAUGAAGGAGAUGGCUUACGAAUAAGUUGAAAUAUUUGAUGACAAUGUUGGGGGGAAGGAGUAGAGGAAUACUCGUUUACGGAUACGGAUAGCAUUCGCGAUGAUUGGUCGACUUAUGCAGCUACCUCUAUUUUUAAGUGACAAGCCGUAUUUUAGGUGUCGAUGAAUGUAUUUACAAACAAUUUUUUGGUUAACGUUAAAAUAUUUGUAGUAUUUUUGACAAAUGAUUAUGUAAUAAAUUGUUUUGGUAUAUAUAUGUGUAUUUUUUUUUGAAAUA